Myotis lucifugus (little brown bat) is the source of this 655-nucleotide long non-coding RNA. RefSeq lists it as uncharacterized. Lineage: Eukaryota; Metazoa; Chordata; Mammalia; Chiroptera; Vespertilionidae. The record is from RefSeq and is a predicted model, not a curated record. The transcript is spliced from 2 exons.
CUGUCAGGGGUGGAUCCCAGAUCACCCUCUUCUGCGUGGCCCACACAACUGUGGAAGUGCCCCAUCUUCUCAUCAGAAAUACUGAAUCAUGAAGCUGCAACAAAAGAAAUGGUUCCAUUGUGUGGGCUUCAGGAAAAGCAAAGAGAAACCACGGUUCAAACCCUUUUAACUACAGCAAAGCACUUGCUGAUGUUUUUGUGCAGGACAGAAAGCAGAAGCAGAGUCUGAGGGAUGCGGAAGAACAGCUCCCAAACGUCCCUUCCACCUUGCAAACAGGGAUCCACAGAUCCUUUUGUGCAGGCUCUUACUCUUUCCCCCUCGGAACUUCUACAGAAGAGAAAUACAAUGACUACGAAGGUCAGCUCUGUAGAGCAAAGGAAGUCAGGACGACCCAGCUGCCUAUUCCUGACCAUUUUUGAACCAGUGCACAAACAACCCCUCAUCUUCCAAGGAAGUAAACAAACAUUUACCAAGAGCCAUCCUGGAAACCCUGCAACUACCCCUGCCUCCUCCAACCCAAGUUCCAAGCUGCAACCAAAGUGACCUUCUAAGAACACAAAUUUGUCGUGAGGAUGGAAUGAGCUAAUAUUUGUAAAGUGCUGACUGGCAUUAUUUGCACAUUGAAGUGCUAUUAAAUGUCUCUGAGAUAAAUACA